RNAcentral lists this ribosomal RNA (511 nucleotides) under uncultured Actinomycetes bacterium. RNAcentral's name for it is "bacterial SSU rRNA". It matches the Rfam family "Bacterial small subunit ribosomal RNA", at positions 8 to 522 of the family's 1533-position model. Lineage: Bacteria; Bacillati; Actinomycetota; Actinomycetes. The record is from RNAcentral.
AGAGUUUGAUCAUGGCUCAGGACGAACGCUGGCGGCGUGCCUAACACAUGCAAGUCGAGCGGGAACCUCAGGAGGGGUAACCCUUCUGAGGGGAGAGCGGCGAACGGGUGAGUAACACGUGGGCAACCUGCCCCGGACACCGGGAUAACCCAGGGAAACCUGAGCUAAUACCGGAUACUCCGGCGUGAUCGCAUGGUCGCGCCGGGAAAGCUCCGACGGUCCGGGAUGGGCCCGCGGCCUAUCAGCUUGUUGGUGGGGUAACGGCCCACCAAGGCGACGACGGGUAGCUGGUCUGAGAGGACGGCCAGCCACACUGGGACUGAGACACGGCCCAGACUCCUACGGGAGGCAGCAGUGGGGGAUCUUGCGCUAAUGCGCGAAAGCGUGACGCAGCGACGCCGCGUGGGGGAUGAAGGCCUUCGGGUUGUAAACCCCUUUCGGCAGGGACGAAGGGAAACUGACGGUACCUGCAGAAGAAGUCCCGGCUAACUACGUGCCAGCAGCCGCGGUA